RNAcentral lists this ribosomal RNA (429 nucleotides) under Pseudomonadota bacterium. RNAcentral describes it as "Proteobacteria bacterium partial 16S ribosomal RNA". It matches the Rfam family "Bacterial small subunit ribosomal RNA", at positions 355 to 776 of the family's 1533-position model. The record is from RNAcentral. Lineage: Bacteria; Pseudomonadati; Pseudomonadota.
UGGGGAAUAUUGGACAAUGGGCGAAAGCCUGAUCCAGCCAUGCCGCGUGUGUGAAGAAGGUCUUCGGAUUGUAAAGCACUUUAAGUUGGGAGGAAGGGCAGUAAGCGAAUACCUUGCUGUUUUGACGUUACCGACAGAAUAAGCACCGGCUAACUCUGUGCCAGCAGCCGCGGUAAUACAGAGGGUGCAAGCGUUAAUCGGAAUUACUGGGCGUAAAGCGCGCGUAGGUGGUUCGUUAAGUUGAAUGUGAAAGCCCCGGGCUCAACCUGGGAACUGCAUCCAAAACUGGCGAGCUAGAGUAGGGCAGAGGGUGGUGGAAUUUCCUGUGUAGCGGUGAAAUGCGUAGAUAUAGGAAGGAACACCAGCGGCGAAGGCGACCACCUGGGCUCAUACUGACACUGAGGUGCGAAAGCGUAGGGAGCAAACAGG